GACGAACGCUGGCGGCGUGCUUAACACAUGCAAGUCGGGCGGUAAGGCCCUUUCGGGGGUACGACGAGCGGCGAACGGGUGAGUAACACGUGGGUGACCUGUCCUCAGCUCUGGGAUAAGCCUGGGAAACGUAGGGUCUAAUACUGGAUAUGACUCCACGGUGCAUGUCGUGGGGUGGAAAGCCUUGUGCGGCUGAGGAUGGGCCCGCGGCCUAUCAGCUUGUUGGUGGGGUGAUGGCCUACCAAGGCGACGACGGGUAGCCGGCCUGAGAGGGCGACCGGCCACACUGGGACUGAGACACGGCCCAGACUCCUACGGGAGGCAGCAGUGGGGAAUCUUGCGCAAUGGGCGAAAGCCUGACGCAGCGACGCCGCGUGAGGGAUGACGGCCU
Molecule: ribosomal RNA, 391 nt
Filed under: uncultured bacterium
Lineage: Bacteria
Description: bacterial SSU rRNA
Rfam family: Bacterial small subunit ribosomal RNA
Source: RNAcentral